RNAcentral lists this ribosomal RNA (1488 nucleotides) under uncultured bacterium. RNAcentral's name for it is "bacterial SSU rRNA". It matches the Rfam family "Bacterial small subunit ribosomal RNA". The record is from RNAcentral.
UUGAUCCUGGCUCAGGAUUAACGCUGGCGGUUGUAGCCUAAUGCAUGCAAGUCGAACGUGGUCUCUUCGGAGAUUAACGUGGCGGACGGGUGAGGAACACGUGGGGAACCUGCCCAUUGGUGGGGGGUAGCCCGCGGAAACGCGGGGUAAUUCCGCAUACGCUGGCCUGGGGAUAGCCUGGGUCAGGAAAGGGUCUUCGGACUCGCCGAUGGAGGGGCCUGCGUCCGAUUAGCUUGUUGGUGGGGUAACGGCCUACCAAGGCGAUGAUCGGUAGCUGGUCUGAGAGGACGGCCAGCCACAGGGGAACUGAGACACGGUCCCCACUCCUACGGGAGGCAGCAGCAAGGAGUUUUCCGCAAUGGGCGAAAGCCUGACGGAGCAACGCCGCGUGGGGGAUGACGCCCUUCGGGGUGUAAACCCCUUUUCUUGGGGACGAAGCAGUGACGGUACCCGAGGAAGAAGGCCCGGCUAACUACGUGCCAGCAGCCGCGGUAAUACGUAGGGGCCGAGCGUUGUCCGGAGUUACUGGGCGUAAAGCGCGCGCAGGCGGCUCGUCAAGCCUGACGUGAAAGCCCCCGGCUCAACCGGGGAGGGUCGUCGGGGACUGGCGAGCUUGAGGUCGGCAGGGGCUGGUGGAACUCCCGGUGUAUUGGUGAAAUGCGUAAGAUCGGGAAAACACCCGUGGCGAAAGGCGGCCAGCUGGGCCGGACCUGACGCUGAGGCGCGAAGGCGUGGGGAGCGAACGGGAUUAAAUACCCCGGUAUCCACGCAUAAAACAAUGCAACUAGCGUGGGGGGACUUGACCCCCUCCGUGCCGUANUAACGCGUGAAGUCUGCCGCCUGGGGAGUACGCCGAAAGGCUAAAACUCAAAGGAAUUGACGGGGGCCCGCAACAAGCGGCGGAGCGUGCGGUUUAAUUGACGCAACGCGUAGAACCUUACCAGGGCUUUGAAAUGAACCUGAAGAGCCGUGAAAGCGGUUGGCCUUCGAGGGUGGUGAACAGGUGCUGCAUGGCUGUCGUCAGCUCGUGUCGUGAGAUGUUGGGUUAAGUCCCGCAACGAGCGCAACCCUCGUGGUUAGUUGCCGAUGUUUCUAGCCAGACUGCCGGUAGCAAGCCGGAGGAAGGUGGGGAUGAUGUCAAGUCAGCAUGGCCCUUACGUCCUGGGCUACACGCACGCUACAAUGGCCGGGACAAUGGGCUGCCAAACCGCAAGGUGGAGCGAAUCCCACAAACCCGGUCUCAGUUCAGAUCGCGGGCUGCAACUCGCCCGCGUGAAGGUGGAGUCGCUAGUAACCGCAGGUCAGCACUACUGCGGUGAAUACGUUCCCGGGCCUUGUACACACCGCCCGUCACGUCACGAAAGCCGGCAACACCUGAAGCCCGUGGGCCAACUCGCAAGAGAGGCAGCGGUCGAGGGUGGGGCGGGUGAUUGGGACGAAGUCGUAACAAGGUAGCCGUAGCGGAAGCUGCGGCUGGAUCACCUCCUU